UGUCCAUCACAACCCCGGCCUCCCUGGAAGCCCUGAUCCCUAAGUUUUCCUGAAAAGGGGCAGAGUAGACAGCCAUGUCAGCGUGGUGACUCGGCUGAGGGGCUCACAGCACCCUCUCUGCGUUGCUCCGGGAAGCCCUGAUGCACAGUGCAGCGUACACUCUCCACUAAAGGAAAGGAGCAGUGUCUUCAGAGAGCUCAAUGUCUUGCCCCCAAGAUGGUUUCUACACAAUUCACCUCAGGAUCAAAUUUUGUUGAAAAAGACACUCCCUUGCAAGUUCAGCCCAGGAUUGCGGUGUCCCCGAGGCACAGACAGAUUCUAUCAACUGUGCGUGACAUGGGGUAGGAGACACCGAAGACAUCAGAAAAAACAAACCCAAAACAAUACCAAUAUCCUGCAUGCUGUCGAAGGGAAGCAGAAUGGAGCCAUCAAUGUUCCCAGUCCAGAAGUCCCGGGAAAGCCAUCAAACUGGACCUGGCCCUGUCAUGUUUGAGUUUCUCCGUAGUGGGGUUGGCCUUGAACCCAGAAGCAACACAGCUGGGUCAUGUUAGGAACCUCCAAACUGAUUCCAAGAAGACCCCACUACUUCACGUCCCACCAGCGGUGUACUGGGGUUUCUCCUUUUCAGAUCCAUGAUGGCGCCACUUGUCAUCUGUGUUCUCGGCGAUGGUCAUUCAGAUGUGGGCGAGGUGGUUUUCAUCUGCAUUUCCCUGAUAGGAGUCUCCAGAACAUACUAUCUGCUUCCAGAAGGGCCUAUAAAAUACAUCUUCUCCAGCAGUCAGGAGGGGUGCCCCGAUGAGGAGUAGAUCACAUACACAAGUAAUGUCGGUAAAGUCUUGAUUAGUCAAAUGAAGGCUAGAGCCUGUGAUUGGGCAGUGGAAGGAAAAGGCAGAGCUGAAGGUUUUAGAGAAGAGAGAAAAGGAAAAAGAAGAGAGAAGAGUUCAAGGAUGGAGGAGAAGCGGAUGGAGGAAGAAGAGGUUGAAGAUGGAGCCGACCCACAUGGCCUGAAGGAGUCCCAGUAGCCAGAGAUUUCACAGCUGGGCAAUGGAGCGGUGUAGUAGUGUAUUUGUCCAAUCUACGUGUGCAGCUUGUAAUUAUAUUACUGAGUCGA
Non-coding RNA from Rattus norvegicus (Norway rat), 1111 nucleotides. The record is from RefSeq and is a predicted model, not a curated record. NCBI's taxonomy places the organism in Eukaryota, Metazoa, Chordata, Mammalia, Rodentia, Muridae.